This 430-nucleotide ribosomal RNA is filed under the name uncultured bacterium. RNAcentral describes it as "partial 16S ribosomal RNA". It matches the Rfam family "Bacterial small subunit ribosomal RNA", at positions 338 to 795 of the family's 1533-position model. The record is from RNAcentral.
CCUACGGGAGGCUGCAGUGGGGAAUAUUGGACAAUGGGCGCAAGCCUGAUCCAGCCAUGCCGCGUGAGUGACGAAGGUCUUCGGAUUGUAAAACUCUUUUGGCGGGGACGCGGUACCCGCAGAAUAAGCCCCGGCUAACUUCGUGCCAGCAGCCGCGGUAAUACGAAGGGGGCUAGCGUUGUUCGGAAUCACUGGGCGUAAAGCGCACGUAGGCGGAUGUGUCAGUCAGGGGUGAAAUCCCGGAGCUCAACUUCGGAACUGCCUCUGAUACAGCACGUCUUGAGUUCGAGAGAGGUGGGUGGAAUUCCUAGUGUAGAGGUGAAAUUCGUAGAUAUUAGGAAGAACACCGGUGGCGAAGGCGGCCCACUGGCUCGAACUGACGCUGAGGUGCGAAGCGUGGGGAGCAACAGGAUUAGAUACCCUUGUAGUC